Molecule: ribosomal RNA, 465 nt
Filed under: Vreelandella stevensii
Lineage: Bacteria; Pseudomonadati; Pseudomonadota; Gammaproteobacteria; Oceanospirillales; Halomonadaceae
Description: partial 16S ribosomal RNA
Rfam family: Bacterial small subunit ribosomal RNA
Source: RNAcentral
CCUACGGGGGGCAGCAGUGGGGAAUAUUGGACAAUGGGGGCAACCCUGAUCCAGCCAUGCCGCGUGUGUGAAGAAGGCCCUCGGGUUGUAAAGCACUUUCAGUGAGGAAGAACGCCUGGUGGUUAAUACCCAUCAGGAAAGACAUCACUCACAGAAGAAGCACCGGCUAACUCCGUGCCAGCAGCCGCGGUAAUACGGAGGGUGCGAGCGUUAAUCGGAAUUACUGGGCGUAAAGCGCGCGUAGGUGGCUUGAUAAGCCGGUUGUGGAAGCCCCGGGCUCAACCUGGGAACGGCAUCCGGAACUGUCAAGCUAGAGUGCAGGAGAGGAAGGUAGAAGUCCCGGUGUAGCGGUGAAAUGCGUAGAGAGCGGGAGGAAUACCAGUGGCGAAGGCGGCCUUCUGGACUGACACUGACACUGAGGUGCGAAAGCGUGGGUAGCAAACAGGAUUAGAUACCCGGGUAGUC